This 817-nucleotide long non-coding RNA is filed under the name Triticum aestivum (bread wheat). RNAcentral's name for it is "long non-coding RNA (TAES_LNC016130)". The record is from RNAcentral. Lineage: Eukaryota; Viridiplantae; Streptophyta; Magnoliopsida; Poales; Poaceae.
GAGCGGCAUCACCCACCACUACUCGCUAGACAUCCCUCCAUGCCGGAAUGGCAUGUGAUUCCGUUAUAGAACCAUAGCGGGCCAAGGGAGGGCACUGCCAUGACAACACUGCUGCUUCUAACAUAUUCACCCCUUAUACCACUGCCUUGCGCCGCCCGGAUCCCAUCGUUGCCGCUUUUCCAAUCCUGGAGAUGAACACGCAGAAAUAAGGUGUGGCGCAUGUCCGUUUUUUCUUUUGCUUCCUCUCAGAUUUGAUCAACGGAACACCAUGGGGGCUAGGCGGAUUUGGGAUGGCUUGUCACCACAAGGCUCUGUUGCAGACUCUCCUUGCAAAGAAAUAAACAAAGCUCCAGACUCGAGGCCGCUACAACAGAGGAAGCGAAAAGCUUUGAUGCUUGAUGCACACCAGACGAUCACAAGUCUCUUUCACAGCCUUUCUGAGGUCGUUGCUAAACCGUGAGGAUUAGAGUAUUCUCUUUCAAGGUAUUUUCAUUACUGAUACUCACAUAUCCGUCCUUGUUUCGUCAUUUCAACAUCCUUGUGCAUUGGCGCUAGCCUCACUUUGAAUUUUUCUUAAUUUUAAUUUGUUGUCUGCAGUAAGUGAUCUUCAUAUUCUUCAUCAGAAGUAUGAGCCCAUCAUGCAAAACAAGGGAACGAAUAAAGCAGCAGUAGUUAUUGUAAUAACUACUAAUAUUGGCAACUUUGUACAUAAUGUGUUAUGAUGUACGCUCCUUGAGUUUAUUGGUAUUCUUUCGCAAGUAUUGAGGAAAUUUAACGUUUGUACAAAGAAAUUAAAUAUUUGAUUGCAAAGGUGAGG